Molecule: ribosomal RNA, 120 nt
Filed under: Tetranychus urticae (two-spotted spider mite)
Lineage: Eukaryota; Metazoa; Arthropoda; Arachnida; Trombidiformes; Tetranychidae
Source: RNAcentral
GUCUACGACCAUACCAGACUGAAAACACCGGAUCCCAUCCGAUCUCCGGAGUUAAGCAGCUAAGUCUAAGCUUAUAAAGGUUUAGAAGACACGAUGUAUGGCUAAAGUAGGUUGAGUUCU